This is a long non-coding RNA of Ooceraea biroi (clonal raider ant), 1350 nucleotides long. RefSeq annotates it as UPF0605 protein GA14893. NCBI's taxonomy places the organism in Eukaryota, Metazoa, Arthropoda, Insecta, Hymenoptera, Formicidae. The record is from RefSeq and is a predicted model, not a curated record.
GCCCCGUGAAAACUGGAAAGCGAAACUAUAAUCGCGCACCUUCUCCCGUUUGUACACGCGUGUUCUCCCUACCCUAUCAUAAAACUCUUUCCUCUUUCUCUCCUCUUUCGUCUCUCCUUGUCGUCAUCGUACUCCCCUUUUACUACUUCAUUAUCAUUCAACCCGCAUCCUUUAUUAUUAAUCCUUUAUUCAUCAGAAAUCACCAACGCACACGCGCAACGCGAGCUAGUUAACGAGCACGGAAAACAUCUGAAUUGCAACUGUUUGGUAAUAUCUAAUCAACUGAUAAAAGAUGUAAAGGAGAACCGCAGCAAAAAACACCCUUUUUUUAAGUUCCAAAUGUAGAGAUACGGUUUGCUAUGAAAUUUGCAAGUCCUUGGGACCAACUAUUUUGACAGAAUGACUGCUGCAAGAAGAAUGCUUACAACAGCCGAGCCCCACUAUAUCCCAGGAUACACCGGUUAUUGUCCGCAGUAUCGAUUCGUAUGCGGCGAUACAUACGGAAAGGCCACGCAUAAAUUGUUGUUAGAUCCUACAAUUAACCACGCGAAAACGCUCAUCCUGUCGAAUCGUGCAACCAGCUAUUGCGAGAUACCGUCAAAAUGCGAUAUAGACGUGGUCAAUGCGCGUUUCAAGAGGACCGAUCCCGUUUUCGUUCACCCUAUGUUACCGGGAUAUGAGGGCUUUAUACCGAGUCUUAAUACUGAAAUCGGACAAAGAUACACGGUGCUCGCGACUCAGAGACUUGCCAAAUUCGAGCGGCAACAAUUACGGGAUAAGGCAGCCUUAAAUCAACUGAGAGAGAUAAUCAACGUGCAAAGUAGGCAAGCCGAGUCACAAGAUUUGGAGAAACGUUUGUUAAUAAAAACUCAAUUUAAAUUGCCAUUACUCCCCGUGCGUCCUGAAUGUGUGCCGGAGAUAAGGAAUUUAACAUCAGACGAACAUCACAAAAUAUUGAAAAAUCACGCGCCUUUAUCUUGUAUAAACAUUCUUCAUGCAGGAUAUGCGCACCAUGUUCCGCACGGCUACGUGCGUUUCGCCUCGUCGUCUGACGGUGCGUUGCAUGAUUUCGCAAAUUAUCGAAAGGAACGGUGCACGGAAUGCGGGUCGAUAACUGUCAUACAUCCUGAUUCGCCGUUACUUGUCCAGCCGAGUGAAAUCUAUCACAAACAUAUAGGAAUGAUACCGAAUUAUCUCGGACAUAUUCCUGGAGUGGCAUUCAGAUGCGGCAAAACCUUCGGAGCUGAUACGAGAAAUGCCAAGAAGUGGCUGCGAAGGGACUCCUCACCUUGCAAUUGGACUUCACGACGACGUUGCGCACACAACGUAUUAUGAAGAGAUCAUAGAAAU